RNAcentral lists this ribosomal RNA (396 nucleotides) under uncultured bacterium. RNAcentral's name for it is "bacterial SSU rRNA". It matches the Rfam family "Bacterial small subunit ribosomal RNA", at positions 64 to 507 of the family's 1533-position model. The record is from RNAcentral.
GAGCGCCCCGCAAGGGGAGCGGCAGACGGGAGAGUAACACGUGGGAACGUACCCUUCAGUUCGGAACAACCCCAGGGAAACUUGGGCUAAUACCGGAUACGUCCGUAAGGAGAAAGAUUUAUCGCUGAAGGAUCGGCCCGCGUCUGAUUAGCUUGUUGGUGAGGUAACGGCUCACCAAGGCGACGAUCAGUAGCUGGUCUGAGAGGAUGAUCAGCCUCACUGGGACUGAGACACGGCCCAGACUCCUACGGGAGGCAGCAGUGGGGAAUAUUGGACAAUGGGCGCAAGCCUGAUCCAGCAAUGCCGCGUGAGUGAUGAAGGCCCUAGGGUUGUAAAGCUCUUUUGUGCGGGAAGAUAAUGACGGUACCGCAAGAAUAAGCCCCGGCUAACUUCGUG